GUCCACGCCCUAAACGAUGUGUGCUAGUUGUUGGUCCCUCAGGGAUCAGUGACGCAGCUAACGCGUUAAGCACACCGCCUGGGGAGUACGGCCGCAAGGUUAAAACUCAAAGAAAUUGACGGGGACCCGCACAAGCGGUGGAGCAUGUGGUUUAAUUCGAAGCAACGCGAAGAACCUUACCAACCCUUGACAUCCUGAUCGCGGAUCGUAGAGAUACUUUCCUUCAGUUCGGCUGGAUCAGUGACAGGUGCUGCACGGCU
This 260-nucleotide ribosomal RNA is filed under the name uncultured bacterium. RNAcentral describes it as "partial 16S ribosomal RNA". It matches the Rfam family "Bacterial small subunit ribosomal RNA", at positions 793 to 1050 of the family's 1533-position model. The record is from RNAcentral.